AGUACACGGGCCACUGUUAGGUUAGGGUUCAGUACACGGGCCACUGUUAGGUUAGGGGUUCAGUACACGGGCCACUGUUAGGUUAGGGGUUCAGUACACGGGCCACUGUUAGGUUAGGGGUUCAGUACACGGGCCACUGUUAGGUUAGGGGUUCAGUACACGGGCCACUGUUAGGUUAGGGGUUCAGUACACGGGCCACUGUUAGGUUAGGGGUUCAGUACACGGGCCACUGUUAGGUUAGGGGUUCAGUACACGGGCCACUGUUAGGUUAGGGGUUCAGUACACGGGCCACUGUUAGGUUAGGGGUUCAGUACACGGGCCACUGUUAGGUUAGGGGUUCAGUACACGGGCCACUGUUAGGUUAGGGGUUCAGUACACGGGCCACUGUUAGGUUAGGGGUUUAGUACACGGGCAACUGUGUGAAAGUGAUUUACAUUUUACAUACACCCUUCACCCUUCCAUAUAGUCUAAUAUAAUAAUAAUAAUAAUAAUAAUAAUAAUAAAUGCCAUUUAGCAGACGCUUUUAUCCAAAGCGACUUACAGUCAUGUGUGCAUACAUUCUACGUAUGGGUGGUCCCGGGGAUCGAACCCACUACCCUGGCGUUACAAGCGCCAUGCUCUACCAACUGAGCUACAGUUACUAUGGCAACUGUCAAACAAUGCCCCCACCAAUUUGGCUAUAAUUUAUACUUUAUUUUUAUUGUUUUACCUUUAUUUAAAUAGGUAAGUCAGUUAAGAACAAAUUCUUAUUUACAAUGACGGCCUACAGCAGCCAACGUUGGGCCAA
Molecule: long non-coding RNA, 787 nt
Organism: Oncorhynchus keta (chum salmon)
Lineage: Eukaryota; Metazoa; Chordata; Actinopteri; Salmoniformes; Salmonidae
Exons: 3
Source: RefSeq, a predicted model, not a curated record